This 560-nucleotide ribosomal RNA is filed under the name uncultured archaeon. RNAcentral's name for it is "bacterial SSU rRNA". It matches the Rfam family "Archaeal small subunit ribosomal RNA", at positions 333 to 897 of the family's 1478-position model. The record is from RNAcentral.
CAGCAGGCGCGAAAACUUUACAAUGCUGGCAACAGCGAUAAGGGGACCUCGAGUGCCAGGAUACAAUCUUGGCUGUCGCGAUGCCUAAAAAGCAUUGCAUAGCAAGGGCCGGGCAAGACCGGUGCCAGCCGCCGCGGUAACACCGGCGGCUCGAGUGGUAACCGCUAUUAUUGGGUCUAAAGGGUCUGUAGCCGGCCGGAUAAGUCUUUUGGGAAAUCCAGCUGCUCAACAGUUGGGCUUUCAGAAGAUACUGUUCGGCUCGAGGCCGGGAGAGGUGAGAGGUACUUCAGGGGUAGGGGUGAAAUCUUGUAAUCCUUGAAGGACCACCAGUGGCGAAGGCGUCUCACCAGAACGGACCUGACGGCAAGGGACGAAAGCUAGGGGCACGAACCGGAUUAGAUACCCGGGUAGUCCUAGCCGUAAACGAUACUCGCUAGGUGUCAGCCACGGUGCGACCGUGGUUGGUGCCGUAGGGAAGCCGUGAAGCGAGCCACCUGGGAAGUACGGCCGCAAGGCUGAAACUUAAAGGAAUUGGCGGGGGAGCACAAGGGCGAAUCGCG